UGUACAGAGCCCGAUCCACCCUGCAAGUGCAAUUUGUUAAAUAAAGUGUGAGGAGCACUACUAGCAACAAGGUUGAGUUGGAAAGUCUAUGAUUCAUUUAAUAAGCAAAAACAUUUCAGAUUGAUAAAAUUUUAGUUUUCUGGCAUUAGUUUGAAGUGUGAACUUGGGGAUGUUGCGCAUAAACAAGAUAAAACAUCAUAUUGAGCUGUUGAAGCUUUGGCUGUGUUCAAAGUUUCAGUUAGAACAUUUAUUCCAUUUUCAAGAGAGCGAAGUCAUCUUCUCAAAAUUUGAUCUUCUUUGAAAUUUUAUCAGAUUCCAAAACUUUUGAUUAAAAUAGGGUAUUCAGAAUGUUUGAAAUUGCUUGGAAAUGAAUUGUAAAAGUUAAAAACCUUAUUAAAGUGGAGAUCAUAUUCACUUUCACAUUUCAAUCCCACGCAUGAGACUAACCAAGAAUGACAUACCAUACAAUUGAAAUGU
RNAcentral lists this unclassified non-coding RNA (477 nucleotides) under Hevea brasiliensis (rubber tree). Lineage: Eukaryota; Viridiplantae; Streptophyta; Magnoliopsida; Malpighiales; Euphorbiaceae. The record is from RNAcentral.